This 1455-nucleotide ribosomal RNA is filed under the name Lacticaseibacillus rhamnosus. Its description in RNAcentral is "bacterial SSU rRNA". It matches the Rfam family "Bacterial small subunit ribosomal RNA". Lineage: Bacteria; Bacillati; Bacillota; Bacilli; Lactobacillales; Lactobacillaceae. The record is from RNAcentral.
CCUAAUACAUGCAAGUCGAACGAGUUCUGAUUAUUGAAAGGUGCUUGCAUCUUGAUUUAAUUUUGAACGAGUGGCGGACGGGUGAGUAACACGUGGGUAACCUGCCCUUAAGUGGGGGAUAACAUUUGGAAACAGAUGCUAAUACCGCAUAAAUCCAAGAACCGCAUGGUUCUUGGCUGAAAGAUGGCGUAAGCUAUCGCUUUUGGAUGGACCCGCGGCGUAUUAGCUAGUUGGUGAGGUAACGGCUCACCAAGGCAAUGAUACGUAGCCGAACUGAGAGGUUGAUCGGCCACAUUGGGACUGAGACACGGCCCAAACUCCUACGGGAGGCAGCAGUAGGGAAUCUUCCACAAUGGACGCAAGUCUGAUGGAGCAACGCCGCGUGAGUGAAGAAGGCUUUCGGGUCGUAAAACUCUGUUGUUGGAGAAGAAUGGUCGGCAGAGUAACUGUUGUCGGCGUGACGGUAUCCAACCAGAAAGCCACGGCUAACUACGUGCCAGCAGCCGCGGUAAUACGUAGGUGGCAAGCGUUAUCCGGAUUUAUUGGGCGUAAAGCGAGCGCAGGCGGUUUUUUAAGUCUGAUGUGAAAGCCCUCGGCUUAACCGAGGAAGUGCAUCGGAAACUGGGAAACUUGAGUGCAGAAGAGGACAGUGGAACUCCAUGUGUAGCGGUGAAAUGCGUAGAUAUAUGGAAGAACACCAGUGGCGAAGGCGGCUGUCUGGUCUGUAACUGACGCUGAGGCUCGAAAGCAUGGGUAGCGAACAGGAUUAGAUACCCUGGUAGUCCAUGCCGUAAACGAUGAAUGCUAGGUGUUGGAGGGUUUCCGCCCUUCAGUGCCGCAGCUAACGCAUUAAGCAUUCCGCCUGGGGAGUACGACCGCAAGGUUGAAACUCAAAGGAAUUGACGGGGGCCCGCACAAGCGGUGGAGCAUGUGGUUUAAUUCGAAGCAACGCGAAGAACCUUACCAGGUCUUGACAUCUUUUGAUCACCUGAGAGAUCAGGUUUCCCCUUCGGGGGCAAAAUGACAGGUGGUGCAUGGUUGUCGUCAGCUCGUGUCGUGAGAUGUUGGGUUAAGUCCCGCAACGAGCGCAACCCUUAUGACUAGUUGCCAGCAUUUAGUUGGGCACUCUAGUAAGACUGCCGGUGACAAACCGGAGGAAGGUGGGGAUGACGUCAAAUCAUCAUGCCCCUUAUGACCUGGGCUACACACGUGCUACAAUGGAUGGUACAACGAGUUGCGAGACCGCGAGGUCAAGCUAAUCUCUUAAAGCCAUUCUCAGUUCGGACUGUAGGCUGCAACUCGCCUACACGAAGUCGGAAUCGCUAGUAAUCGCGGAUCAGCACGCCGCGGUGAAUACGUUCCCGGGCCUUGUACACACCGCCCGUCACACCAUGAGAGUUUGUAACACCCGAAGCCGGUGGCGUAACCCUUUUAGGGAGCGAGCCGUCUAAAGGU